RNAcentral lists this long non-coding RNA (528 nucleotides) under Homo sapiens (human). Its description in RNAcentral is "HSALNT0068137". The record is from RNAcentral. Lineage: Eukaryota; Metazoa; Chordata; Mammalia; Primates; Hominidae.
CUUCCUGGCUUUCCUUCAGGGAGGUCAGGAAAGUCAGGGACCCGUGGAUAAAGACCAGGAGAACACAAUGAGCAGAAAAGCGUAGGCGAGCAGCUGGCAGCCACCAUCGCAUUUGCUCCCGGAAGGCAAGAGGAGGCAGAGAAAAUUCCAGAACCCAUUUAAGCGUCUGGGACCCUGAGGCUGAGAAGCCAGCCGGGAUGACCAGACAUCUGAGAGAUUCCUCUGAUGUGGAAGAGAGAGACAAAACAAACAGAAAAAGGACAACUGGAAGGAAACAGAGACUGUUCUGCGAGAAGACAGCUUGGAAAAAACUGUCAUUAAUAUAUUCAAGAAGGAAAGAUAAAAUUUUGUAUUUAUGAAAAAAGAACUAGGUGCCAUAAAGAAAGAACAUUUGGAGAAUAUAAAGAGCACUUGGAAAUUAAAAAUAGGAUCAUGGAAAUUGAAAACUCAGUAGAAGAGUUGGAAGAUAAGAUUGAGGAAAUUUUAUAGAAAUUAGAGCAAAAAGUUGAAAAUAAAGCCCUUGCAGUG